GACGAACGCUGGCGGCGUGCCUAAUACAUGCAAGUCGAGCGCUGAAGAGAGGAGCUUGCUCUUCUUGGAUUAGUUGCGAACGGGUGAGUAACGCGUAGGUAACCUACCUUUUAGCGGGGGAUAACUAUUGGAAACGAUAGCUAAUACCGCAUAACAUUUGAUGACACAUGUUAUUUAUUUGAAAGGGGCAAUUGCUCCACUACAAGAUGGAACUCCGUUGUAUUAGCUAGUAUGUGAGGUAAUGGCUCACCUACGGGAGCAUACAUAACCGACCCGAGAGGGGGGACGGCCCACAUGGGAAGGGAGAAAGGGCCCGAACCCUUAGGGAGGGAGCAGGAGGGGAAUCUUGGGCAAGGGGGGAACGCUGAACGAGGCACGCCGGGUGGGUGGAUGAGGGUCUCGGGUCGUAAAAAUCUGUUGUAAGUGAAGGAAGGAUGGGAGAGUGGAAAGUGCACAUUGUGACGGUACCUUAACAGAAAGCCACGGCUAACUACGUG
This 497-nucleotide ribosomal RNA is filed under the name uncultured bacterium. RNAcentral's name for it is "partial 16S ribosomal RNA". It matches the Rfam family "Bacterial small subunit ribosomal RNA", at positions 28 to 507 of the family's 1533-position model. The record is from RNAcentral.